GUGAGCGCGAGAACAGCGCGGCAGGUCCCGAGGCGCUGGCUGGGGCCUCUGCCGCGGAAAGUUCCCAGUCCCCAGCCGCAGGUAUUUUCCUUUACUACUGAUCGUGGAAAUCAAUCACCGAGAAGGGAGAAAAGUUGCAGAGGGGCCGGAUGCGCUUGAGGAGCCGCGAGUCCGCACCGCCGUGACGCGGGGGCGAAGCAGAGCAUCUCUGCAGCCAGUUCUUGUGAAGUUAAAAGACAGCGCGAACUCUUCAGGGUUAGAGAGUGGAAUGAAUGACUGUCCCUCGCGGCUUGCUGCUAAUGAAUGACACGAAAGUAACACCAACACAACCUUCGAGAAAAGGCGGACCGUUUCCCCAAGCCCGAGAUCUGCAGGACUGAAAUGAAAUAUUUUGAGCUCUUCCAG
Long non-coding RNA from Hyaena hyaena (striped hyena), 405 nucleotides. RefSeq lists it as uncharacterized. Lineage: Eukaryota; Metazoa; Chordata; Mammalia; Carnivora; Hyaenidae. The transcript has 5 exons. The record is from RefSeq and is a predicted model, not a curated record.